RNAcentral lists this ribosomal RNA (449 nucleotides) under uncultured bacterium. RNAcentral's name for it is "partial 16S ribosomal RNA". It matches the Rfam family "Bacterial small subunit ribosomal RNA", at positions 29 to 523 of the family's 1533-position model. The record is from RNAcentral.
AACGAACGCCGGCGGCAGGCUUAACACAUGCAAGUCGAGCGCAUCCUUCGGGGUGAGCGGCAGACGGGUGAGUAACGCGUGGGAACGUACCCUUUCCUACGGAAUAGCUCCGGGAAACUGGAAUUAAUACCGUAUACGCCCUUAGGGGGAAAGAUUUAUCGGGGAAGGAUCGGCCCGCGUUGGAUUAGCUAGUUGGUGGGGUAAAGGCCUACCAAGGCGACGAUCCAUAGCUGGUCUGAGAGGAUGAUCAGCCACAUUGGGACUGAGACACGGCCCAAACUCCUACGGGAGGCAGCAGUGGGGAAUAUUGGACAAUGGGCGCAAGCCUGAUCCAGCCAUGCCGCGUGAGUGAUGAAGGCCUUAGGGUUGUAAAGCUCUUUCAGUAGGGAAGAUAAUGACGGUACCUACAGAAGAAGCCCCGGCUAACUUCGUGCCAGCCGCCGCCGUAA